UGGGGAAUAUUGCACAAUGGGCGCAAGCCUGAUGCAGCCAUGCCGCGUGUGUGAAGAAGGCCUUCGGGUUGUAAAGCACUUUUCAGCGAGGAGGAAGGUGGUGAGCUUAAUACGCUCAUCAAUUGACGUUACUCGCAGAAGAAGCACCGGCUAACUCCGUGCCAGCAGCCGCGGUAAUACGGAGGGUGCAAGCGUUAAUCGGAAUUACUGGGCGUAAAGCGCACGCAGGCGGUUUGCUAAGUCAGAUGUGAAAUCCCCGGGCUCAACCUGGGAACUGCAUUUGAAACUGGCAAGCUAGAGUCUCGUAGAGGGGGGUAGAAUUCCAGGUGUAGCGGUGAAAUGCGUAGAGAUCUGGAGGAAUACCGGUGGCGAAGGCGGCCCCCUGGACGAAGACUGACGCUCAGGUGCGAAAGCGUGGGGAGCAAAACAGGAUUAGAUACCCUGGUAGUCCACGCUGUAAAACGAUGUCGAUUUUGGAGGUUGUGCCCUUGAGGCGUGG
This 499-nucleotide ribosomal RNA is filed under the name uncultured bacterium. Its description in RNAcentral is "partial 16S ribosomal RNA". It matches the Rfam family "Bacterial small subunit ribosomal RNA", at positions 355 to 842 of the family's 1533-position model. The record is from RNAcentral.